RNAcentral lists this long non-coding RNA (1408 nucleotides) under Vigna radiata. RNAcentral's name for it is "long non-coding RNA (VRAD_LNC002396)". Lineage: Eukaryota; Viridiplantae; Streptophyta; Magnoliopsida; Fabales; Fabaceae. The record is from RNAcentral.
AUAAUUUACCAGUUUUUCUAAACUCCGUCAAUCAAAGAGAGCAUCAUCCAGAAAAGAGAAAACUGUCACAUGGACACAUGAGUUUUUCUUUUAAAAUUAUAUGCAAACUAAUAAAGAAAAUUAUUUACAUAUACAUAUAUUUAUAUGCAAACUAAAAAAGAAAAUUACAUAAUUAGUUACAUAUAUGUAUAUAUAUAUAUAUAUAUAUAUAUAUAUAUUUACAAAUAUACAAAGUUGCUGCGAAGACGACGAAGAUCACACAACAGGAUUCUCUUCAUAAAAGUAGAGCCUUGAAAAAAUGUUUGGCCAAACGUUCUCAUCUUCACUGGACAAAAUCUUGAAACAUUAUUAAGUAUUUCACCUUUCUCACAUACAUAAAAGCUUCGGUUGGACGCGACAUGCAAGUAAGAACCACCCUCCAAAUGCACAUGCAUGCAUGCGUCCAUGAUCAGUGGAUAGGUACCCCACAUCAAACGAUAAACAACUUAUGCAUGUAACAGAUCACAUCAGUUAGAGCAGGGAGAAGAUCGUUUAUUAUAGCUGAUCUCGUCAUUUUCGAAAUCCUCAGCAGCUUCCUCGGUUAUUGUUUCUAGAGUAGGCGUGUUCGAAGGUUUCUUAGGAAAAAUUACAGGUGCCGGGGCAACCUCGAUCCAGGAACUUAGCUUUCUCAUUCCCUUGCUCAUUGGGACACACACAUAUAUAUACUUUGACAACAAUGAUUGAUCUUCCUCCUCAAUCACAAUAUGCAAUCUUCUGUAGCAAAACGAAAAUAUUUUCUCUCCUUCUCCUAUGUCUAGAAAGAGGAGAGAGAGAGAGAGAGAGAGAGAUUUUUUUCCUAAGAGGCUUUUUACAAGGGUUCAGGAUUUGCUGUUUGCUAUGUGUUAAUUGGCAAAGAUCUUAUGUCUAUAUAUAUAUAUACACACACUUGUUGGAACUUGGAAAAAGAGAUGGAUGGAAUUAUAGGUAGGAGAUAUUUGGAGAAGGCAUAAAUAGGAGCAUGUAUACCUGGACGGUUUUCGGGAAAUACACGUGGAGAAAGAAAUAGUUUUCGGAAGCUUCCUUUAUGACAACAUUAACAUAAAAAUCUAGGAAUCAUCUAACCACAAACGUGUCCUAUAAUAAUUUCAUUGUCGGUUUCUAAAGCCCUACAACCCCUAAACGAAUUACCUGUUCCAGAGGCAAAAUAGAAAACGUCAACACCUCCUCACUUUUCUCCUCUCCAUCAAAAUAUUCGUCUUUUCUUAUCCCAACUGUUGACAAUUUCGGCAUAGCCUCUAGAAUAUACCGGAAUAUAGAUUCUGAAUUUGGAAUUAGAAUUCCUAAUUCCUCAUCUAAUAUUAUUAUUUUCUUGUUCUGUUCUUUAAACAUGUUACAGAUAUAUAUGUUUCUUAAGUUUUGGGCGAUAUAC